AUUCUAGCUGGAGGUUUCGAGCCGAAUGAUCGGGUCUGCCAACCAUCUCUAGGUCAGAUGAGUCUUUACAAGGAGUGCUUUCAGGUCGGGUUAUGGCUUCCUCUUCAUCUCUUCUUCAUAUAGCUCUUCCAAUACUUCAAGAUGUCGCCGUGCUCAGUGGUCCCAAACUCGUGGCAAUAUAUCUAUGGCUUCACUGUAGUAUGUGUGCUGGUGGGGAUUGAUCCUAGUAUCGUGCUCUUCUGUUCUCUCUUUAGCCUCAAAAAGCAUCUGGAGUCCCAUGGCUGGUGGUACGUAAUCGUGAAGGAAGAAGGACAUCCACCCAGUAUCUUUUUCGAGGAUUCCCACCAUCGUUUAUGGUUGGAACCACGAUUCCUCUUCAUCUCUCAGACGUUCGAUGAGGAUUGGGGGUUUAUCAC
RNAcentral lists this long non-coding RNA (416 nucleotides) under Elaeis guineensis (African oil palm). Its description in RNAcentral is "long non-coding RNA (EGUI_LNC059394)". The record is from RNAcentral. Lineage: Eukaryota; Viridiplantae; Streptophyta; Magnoliopsida; Arecales; Arecaceae.